UGGACGGGUGAGUAAUGUCUGGGAAACUGCCUGAUGGAGGGGGGUAACUACUGGAAACGGUAGCUAAUACCGCAUAACGUCGCAAGACCAAAGAGGGGGACCUUCGGGCCUCUUGCCAUCGGAUGUGCCCAGAUGGGAUUAGCUAGUAGGUGGGGGAAGGGCUCACCUAGGCGACGAUCCCUAGCUGGUCUGAGAGGAUGACCAGCCACACUGGAACUGAGACACGGUCCAG
This 232-nucleotide ribosomal RNA is filed under the name uncultured bacterium. Its description in RNAcentral is "partial 16S ribosomal RNA". It matches the Rfam family "Bacterial small subunit ribosomal RNA", at positions 100 to 334 of the family's 1533-position model. The record is from RNAcentral.